AACGAACGCUGGCGGCGUGCCUAAGACAUGCAAGUCGUACGGAAAGGCCCCCUUCGGGGGGCACUCGAGUGGCGCACGGGUGAGUAACGCGUGGGUAAUCUGCCUUAGGGUCUAGGACAACCCCGGGAAACUGGGGCUAAUACUGGAUAAGACCACGAGCUCCUCGGAGCUUGCGGGAAAAGAUGGCCUCUCCUUGGAAGCUAUCGCCCUUCGAUGAGCCAGCGUCCCAUUAGCUAGUUGGUGAGGUGACGGCUCACCAAGGCUUUGAUGGGUAGCUGGUCUGAGAGGAUGAUCAGCCACACUGGAACUGAGACACGGUCCAGACUCCUACGGGAGGCAGCAGUCGGGAAUUUUGGGCAAUGGGCGAAAGCCUGACCCAGCAACGCCGCGUGAGGGAUGAAGGCCCUCGGGUCGUAAACCUCUGUCGGGAGGGAAGAACGGUUCACGUUCGAACAGGACGGGAGCCUGACGGUACCUCCAAAGGAAGCACCGGCUAACUCCGUGCCAGCCGCCGCAGUAA
This 520-nucleotide ribosomal RNA is filed under the name uncultured bacterium. RNAcentral describes it as "partial 16S ribosomal RNA". It matches the Rfam family "Bacterial small subunit ribosomal RNA", at positions 29 to 523 of the family's 1533-position model. The record is from RNAcentral.